RNAcentral lists this ribosomal RNA (409 nucleotides) under uncultured bacterium. Its description in RNAcentral is "bacterial SSU rRNA". It matches the Rfam family "Bacterial small subunit ribosomal RNA", at positions 30 to 437 of the family's 1533-position model. The record is from RNAcentral.
AUUGAACGCUGGCGGAAUGCUUUACACAUGCAAGUCGAACGGCAGCACGGGGCAACCUGGUGGCGAGUGGCGAACGGGUGAGUAAUACAUCGGAACGUGCCCAAUCGUGGGGGAUAACGUAGCGAAAGUUACGCUAAUACCGCAUACGAUCUACGGAUGAAAGCGGGGGAUCGCAAGACCUCGCGCGAAUGGAGCGGCCGAUGUCAGAUUAGGUAGUUGGUGGGGUAAAGGCUCACCAAGCCAACGAUCUGUAGCUGGUCUGAGAGGACGACCAGCCACACUGGAACUGAGACACGGUCCAGACUCCUACGGGAGGCAGCGAGUGGGGAAGUUUUGGUACGAAUGGGCGGCAAGCCUGAUCCAGCCAUUCCGCGUGCAGGAUGAAGGCCUUCGGUUGUAACUAGCUUUG